UACGAAGGGGGCUAGCGUUGUUCGGAUUUACUGGGCGUAAAGCGCACGUAGGCGGAUCGUUAAGUCGGGGGUGAAAUCCUGGAGCUCAACUCCAGUACUGCCUUCGAUACUGGCGAUCUUGAGUCCGGAAGAGGUGAGUGGAACUCCUAGUGUAGAGGUGGAAUUCGUAGAUAUUAGGAAGAACACCAGUGGCGAAGGCGGCUCACUGGUCCGGUACUGACGCUGAGGUGCGAAAGCGUGGGGAGCAAACAGG
Molecule: ribosomal RNA, 253 nt
Filed under: uncultured bacterium
Lineage: Bacteria
Description: partial 16S ribosomal RNA
Rfam family: Bacterial small subunit ribosomal RNA
Source: RNAcentral